This 789-nucleotide ribosomal RNA is filed under the name uncultured bacterium. Its description in RNAcentral is "bacterial SSU rRNA". It matches the Rfam family "Bacterial small subunit ribosomal RNA", at positions 95 to 899 of the family's 1533-position model. The record is from RNAcentral.
GUGGCGAACGGUCGCGUAACACGUAAGCAACCUGCCCUGAAGUGGGGGACAACAUUCCGAAAGGGGUGCUAAUACCGCAUGUGGUCACGAGUCGGCAUCGACUUGUGUCUAAAGAUUUAUCGCUUCAGGAUGGGCUUGCGGCCUAUCAGGUAGUUGGUGGGGUAAUGGCCUACCAAGCCGACGACGGGUAGCUGGUCUGAGAGGACGAUCAGCCGGAUUGGGACUGAGAUACGGCCCAGACUCCUACGGGGGGCAGCAAUUAGGAAUCUUGCGCAAUGGGGGCAACCCUGACGCAGCGACGUCGCGUGAAGGAUGAAGGCCCUCGGGUCGUAAACUUCUUUUGAGCGGGAAGAAAUUUGACGGUACCACUCGAAUAAGCCCCGGCUAACUACGUGCCGGCAGCCGCGGUAAUACGUAGGGGGCGAGCGUUGUCCGAAGUUACUGGGCGUAAAGCGCGCGUAGGCGGUUAUUUAAGUCUGGGGUGAAAGGUUCAGCGCUCAACGUGAACAGUGCCUUGGAUACUGGAUGACUUGAGUCUGGGAGGGGGAAGGGGAAUUCCUGGUGUAGCGGUGAAAUGCGUAGAUAUCAGGAGGAACACCGGUGGCGAAGGCGCCUUCCUGGCCUAAGACUGACGCUGAGGUGCGAAAGCGUGGGGAGCAAACGGGAUUAGAUACCCCGGUAGUCCACGCCGUAAACGAUGAGUGCUAGGUGUCGGGGGUAUCGCCCCCCCGGUGCCGUCGCUAACGCAUUAAGCACUCCGCCUGGGGGAGUACGGCCGCAAGGUUGAAA